UCAGAUAAGGGGCAUGAGAAGCCUGGAAGGAUGAAGGGACCUGGUAUAUUCCAUAGAUAACAGCAGAGCUCGGCCGUGAACACUUGGAGGCUGUAUUUCUUAAAGACAAGGUUCCUGAUCUGUAACAUGAGGCCAGUCACUUGUGCCUUCUAGGCUUUGGGGAAGGACUGAAGAAAAUGAUGGAUUCUACAUCUGGGUGUAUUUUCAGCAUGUGGCACAGUGCCCAGUGUAUACUAUGUUCUGAGAUACUUGAUGGAAGACAUACAGAAUAUUAUGGCGAUGGCUGUGUAAUGCAGAAAGACAAUGACCUGCUCUCUCAAGGAACAAGUUUGCAAUUGAAAAUACAAAUGUAAGAGAGAUGAUUUCCCUUCCUGGUUUGGGAAUGAAGAUGGUGCUUCCGAGUGUCAGCUCACAGGUUCGUUGUGAACACUGGGUGUGAGAGGUGCCGAACUGGGUCAUCGGACCUGCUCAGUAAAUGAAAGCCGAUGGGAGCCACCCUCUUGUUUCUAGUAGAACUUGAUGCUUUGGACAGCCUUCACUGAAACACCCCAUCUUCCAUUGAAAUGAGGCUGCAUAUUCCUGAUAUAGUCAAUGAAUACAACACACCCAAAAUUCCAGGAAAA
Long non-coding RNA from Ailuropoda melanoleuca (giant panda), 623 nucleotides. RefSeq lists it as uncharacterized. The record is from RefSeq and is a predicted model, not a curated record. NCBI's taxonomy places the organism in Eukaryota, Metazoa, Chordata, Mammalia, Carnivora, Ursidae. The transcript is spliced from 5 exons.